This is a long non-coding RNA of Gigantopelta aegis, 300 nucleotides long. RefSeq lists it as uncharacterized. The record is from RefSeq and is a predicted model, not a curated record. The transcript has 4 exons. NCBI's taxonomy places the organism in Eukaryota, Metazoa, Mollusca, Gastropoda, Neomphalida, Peltospiridae.
GAACUGAGGUAUGAUGCUGUGUUUAAUGAAGGGACAGCUGGUUUGAGUACAUUGAACAUCCCUGUGUGUCUACUGGAGGACGUCAGUGCCUCCAAUCCAUGUUCAACAGGAUGGACGUUGUCCAACAGAUAUUGCUAUCUUUACUCAAAUUAUAAAGUGUCCUCAUAUGCAGAUACUCUGAAAAACUGUAAACAGGGAAUAAGUGACAUCUUGACGAUACACUCUGAUGUAGAACAUCAGUCUGUAAUUAACUUGGUGAAGUCUGUCAGCGGACUGAGAUCAACUGUUCUCUUGGGCAAG